Molecule: ribosomal RNA, 545 nt
Filed under: uncultured bacterium
Lineage: Bacteria
Description: partial 16S ribosomal RNA
Rfam family: Bacterial small subunit ribosomal RNA
Source: RNAcentral
UGGGGAAUAUUGCACAAUGGGCGAAAGCCUGAUGCAGCGACGCCGCGUGCGGGAUGAAGGCCUUCGGGUUGUAAACCGCUUUUAAUUGGGAGCAAGCGAGAGUGAGUGUACCUUUUGAAUAAGCACCGGCUAACUACGUGCCAGCAGCCGCGGUAAUACGUAGGGUGCAAGCGUUAUCCGGAAUUAUUGGGCGUAAAGAGCUCGUAGGCGGUUUGUCACGCCUGGUGUGAAAGUCCAUCGCUUAACGGUGGAUCUGCGCCGGGUACGGGCAGGCUAGAGUGCAGUAGGGGAGAUUGGAAUUCCCGGUGUAACGGUGGAAUGUGUAGAUAUCGGGAAGAACACCAAUGGCGAAGGCAGAUCUCUGGGCUGUUACUGACGCUGAGGAGCGAAAGCAUGGGGAGCGAACAGGAUUAGAUACCCGUGGUAGUCCAUGCCGUAAACGGUGGAUGCUGGAUGUGGGACCCUUCCACGGGUUCCGUGUCGGAGCUAACGCGUUAAGCAUCCCGCCUGGGGAGUACGGCCGCAAGGCUAAAACUCUAAAGUGA